Molecule: ribosomal RNA, 218 nt
Filed under: uncultured bacterium
Lineage: Bacteria
Description: partial 16S ribosomal RNA
Rfam family: Bacterial small subunit ribosomal RNA
Source: RNAcentral
CCAUCCCAGUUCGGAUUGCAGGCUGNAACCCGCCUGUAUGAAGUUGGAAUCGCUAGUAAUCGCGGAUCAGCAUGCCGCGGUGAAUACGUUCCCGGGCCUUGUACACACCGCCCGUCACACCAUGAGAGUCGGGAACACCCGAAGUCCGUAGCCUAACCGCAAGGAGGGCGCGGCCGAAGGUGGGUUCGAUAAUUGGGGUGAAGUCGUAACAAGGUAGC